GUAGCACCUUAGAGGCCAACUAAGUUUGUUCUUGGUAUAAGCUUUUGUGUGCAUGCAUGUAUCUGAAGAAGUGUGCAUGCACACGAAAGCAUAUACCAAGAACAAACUUAGUUGGUCUUUAAGGUGCUAC
Molecule: microRNA precursor, 130 nt
Filed under: Podarcis lilfordi (Lilford's wall lizard)
Lineage: Eukaryota; Metazoa; Chordata; Lepidosauria; Squamata; Lacertidae
Source: RNAcentral